Molecule: ribosomal RNA, 318 nt
Filed under: Triticum aestivum (bread wheat)
Lineage: Eukaryota; Viridiplantae; Streptophyta; Magnoliopsida; Poales; Poaceae
Description: partial small subunit ribosomal RNA
Source: RNAcentral
AUGGAUCCUCACCCCCGAGACGAAGCAGAAGAAGCGGUGUUGGGGGAGAUAAUCGCACACGGAAGUGAUGCCGUCUUGUCGUUUCUCAACGACACAUGCACCGAUGGUCUGGAAAGACAGCUGGAUGAAGAAGCAAGCUACGACGAUGAUCAAACAAUGGAGGAGGAAGGACACCGUGAUGACGGCUCCGGUGACCGAAUGGAGGGGGAAGGACACCGUGAUGACGGCUCCGGUGACCGAAUGGAGGGGGGAGGACACCGUGAUGACGGCUCCGGUGACCGAACGGAGUCUGGCCAGGUAUAUAUAUUAAUUAAUUAA